GAUACAGUACAGAAUCAACUUUCCUUUGUCAGUCAGCCGGUGAUAAUUCAGAGCACCCAUUGCAUCAGGAUAUUGGAACUGAAAUGAAGUCUGAACAACUUGGAGAUGAAAAAGGAGUAGGCAGAGAUGAGAAAGGGGUUCUUUGUACUGCAAAUGUGGAUAAAGGUAAAUAAAUGGAAAGGAUUUUUAAUAAAAUUUCAGUUUAGUAACAAUUGACCACAUAUAUAAUAGAUUAUGUUCAAAGAGAUGAUGAAUAACCAGAUAAUAACUUAAUCUCUUAAGUGGUUAGUUAUUCCUAAGCUGGAAAUUAUAUGAAGGUCUAGUUUUAUAUAUUUUCUAAAAUAAAAUGCUUUUUUUCAAUAUGCUAAUACCAUAAAUGGUAAGCGUUAAUAUUAUGUCUAUUCUAGCAGAUAUGUUGCCAUAUUGUGAGGAACAGAUAAACAAUGACUUGAUUGUUUCUACCUCAUCAAGAUUGGAGUUCAGCUCCCCUAUUCAAGUAACCCCUCUGUUCAGAUCCUUGGCAGCAGGAAUUCCCAGCCCACAAUUUUCCGAAAGUGUAAGUCAGCCAUGAACUUGGGACUUGGGCAUUGAUUAUAUUUCUGUAUAAUUUUUUUUAAAAUGAUCUAUAUGCAUAUAUUGUAUUUCUUUUGACCGCAGAACCCAUUAUGAUUUCUGUUAUAGUUUCAUAAAGGAUUUUUAGGGUCUCUGAUAUUUUCCGUUAUCUGAUAUUGAUAAUGUUGAUAAUGAUAACUAGCAUGAUUAUAUAUUAUUAGUAAUAUGGGAGCUUUUCAACUUGAUGGUAGAGCUUGUUGUAGUGGAGAUUUUAUAGGGGAAGCUUAUCAAUGCAAAAUUGACAUGUUAAAGCGGUGAACUAAUGGAAUCAUGAUUAGUUGUUGGAUUAAUGGAAUCAUGUCUUUUCCUUUUAGUUUAGUAAGAUGAAUGCCUAUUAUAUAUUAAAUAUUAAUCUAUCAAUAAUAAAUCAAAUAAUGGUGGCAUUUUAUUUUCAUCAUUAGUUUCAAUACUCAAUCCAUGAAACCGUAGUAGGCACCUUAACUCAAGUAUUCCUAAUAUCAUCUAUUUCUACUUCUAAGUCCAUUGGGCUUUUGAAAUAUUUAAGCAAUCCCUACCUAAAAUUGUUGAUGCAGGUAAAAAAGAGGUAAAUGAAGAAGAACAACCUGUUUGUAAUCAAGUAUUUGGGUGGCAUAUAAUGUGCUGGUAAAACUAAUACGAUAUAUGUGUAUAUGGCAUGAGAUUUUCUGAGACAUUUAGAUUUUUUAGCAUACAGAUUAAGUUGUGUAAGAUCUUACUCACAUUGGAGCGCAUAAUAAUGAUAUAACUGCAGGGUUUGUUUGGAUAAAAUUUUCCAUAAACACUCAUUGGAGAAGAAAAUACGAAGGAAAGACUAACCAUAAAGUAAAAUUAGUUUAUAUAUGAAUUAAAAAUCAUCUAUUUAGAGAAACUCAUUUUGUUUGUCCUUCUUAUAUUGCUCUUAUAAGUUAGAAGUAUUUUGAAAAAGUUUAUCUUGCAAAUAAUAUUUAAUUUUGUGGCAAGAUUAGUGGAAGCUGUUAGAUGUUAUUCACACAUUGAUUUUUUUAAUUCUAGUUUGUCGUUGGUAAUGGCACUUCUCGCUUUUUCUCUAGUAUUAGAAUAUAUCGAUGUUUGACACUGAAGACUAACCUUUAUUCUUUCAGGAAAGGAACUUCUUAAGGAAAACACUAGGAGUGGAAUCUCCAUCCAUCAACCCAAGUGCCAACUCAUCACAACCGCCACCCUGCAAAAGAGCCCUACUACCAAGUCUAUAAACCAUCUGAGAUACAAAUAUUGAUCCGUUUUGAAUCCUACUUUCUCAUCCUUGGCAGUAAUCUCUGGCAUAUGGAGAAAAAAUAUGAUUUCAAUCUGCCUAAAGUUUUGAAAGGCAUAUGCUGUUCCUCAAGAAUGUUAUGAUACAUUCUUGCCGCCAUCCAACAUAUCUAACAUCUCAAAAGUUACCUUUUUGAAACUUGCACAUAAAAUUGGCUUGCUUAGUGUGUCAUUCUUUGGUUUGUUUUAUUUUGAUAUUGUUCUGGGUUUGUUUUUCUCCAAUCCAGCAAUCAGCAUUUUGUCCGAAUUUUGUACAGAGCUUGCUGUGUAAUCAGUAGCAUCAUGAUUCCUGAGUGUGUAUGAAUACAUUAGCAUAGAUAGAAGAGAGAGAAGAAACUUAACAGUGGGAACUUGGAUUCUAAUUUGUUGUUUGGAGUGUGCAUAGGUUAUUUAAUAAAUAUUUUUCCCUUUUGGUUCUGAUGUACUGAAACUUAAUCAUAAGUGAGUGGAAAUGCAUUUGGUUUGGUGUGCAGAUACUGUUUCAGUUUUUAGCUCAAUCAAAUUGUAAAAUUCUCCAAACUAAGACUUAUAUUCCAGGUAAAUAAAAGAAAAUGGUAAAGCAAAGGCCAUGAAGCAUCAUGAAAACAGAACAAGAAAUGGAGAAUAUGUAAAUCAUAUACUUACAGAGUUUUCAUGUCACCUUGCCCCCUGACCUGAUAGAGGCAAAGCAUACCUUUCUCUUUGAUACGGCUUGUUUGCCAUGGAGCAUCAUCUUGUGCUGGGUGGAAGAAUAAUUCCACACUCACUGCAUU
This 2612-nucleotide long non-coding RNA is filed under the name Phaseolus vulgaris (common bean). RNAcentral describes it as "long non-coding RNA (PVUL_LNC003859)". The record is from RNAcentral. Lineage: Eukaryota; Viridiplantae; Streptophyta; Magnoliopsida; Fabales; Fabaceae.